UACGUAGGGUGCAAGCGUUAAUCGGAAUUACUGGGCGUAAAGCGUGCGCAGGCGGUUUUGUAAGUUUGUCGUGAAAGCCCCGGGCUCAACCUGGGAAUUGCGAUGGAGACUGCAAGGCUUGAAUCUGGCAGAGGGGGGUAGAAUUCCACGUGUAGCAGUGAAAUGCGUAGAGAUGUGGAGGAACACCGAUGGCGAAGGCAGCCCCCUGGGUCAAGAUUGACGCUCAUGCACGAAAGCGUGGGGAGCGAACAGG
RNAcentral lists this ribosomal RNA (253 nucleotides) under uncultured bacterium. Its description in RNAcentral is "partial 16S ribosomal RNA". It matches the Rfam family "Bacterial small subunit ribosomal RNA", at positions 524 to 776 of the family's 1533-position model. The record is from RNAcentral.